AUAUUUUUUUUUUGCCAUCCCUUUUGCAAAUUUAUUUUUGUAGAUUUUUAUUUGAAUGGAUUUUUUUUUUUUUUGGCUUUAGGGAAUUUUUGUUUAUAAUAAUCCAUUUUCCGAUUAAUCGUGCUUUUUCCAUUAGGUGUUGGCGGUGGAGAUAAAUGCGAGCUGGUGUUGUGUGGGUGAGACAUUGUAGGGUUAGUAGUUUGAAAAUUCUCCGAUUCUUUCUUCAUUAGUCUAUGUAUUUUAUUGAUUUUUGUCCUGCCAAGACUUGGGUAAUGUUUGAAUUGAAUUCUGUUAUUUAAACUAAUACAUGUUAAUUACUUUCGUGUUGCGUACAGACCCCGCUUCCGUAUGAUUUCUUCAUCUGAAACCUGCAAUCCGAAAAAUAAAUGUGAGGAUUUACACAAAUCCUCGAGUAUUUCCCCAACUCUUUACUUCUCUGUCAUUAGGUUCCCAGUGAGCAGAAGUUACCAUCACUUUAUCUUUUGGACAGUAUUGUAAAGAAUAUUGGAAGGGAUUAUAUCAAAUAUUUUGCUGCCAGACUCCCUGAGGUUAGAUUUCCUGCUUGAUUCUUAUCAUGCUUUUCUUUAUGGAAGAACAAGGAAAGAAAAUCUGCAAAAAACACAAGAUUAGUCAAAUUCUCCCACCGUUUCAUUUUAAAGAUGUUUACAGCUUUAGGAACCUACUUUUCAUCCUGAGUUUUCAUCCCACCGGAGAUUGGCGGCUUCAGCUUCAUUGUUGCUGAGACUGGUGGCCCAUUGGUGUCGGGUACGGUUUAUUGAUAUAUAGGAGUUUAUAGGCUUAAUGACUUGAAGCAACGUGUUUGCUUACUUGCCAAAGCUUUUAACGUGUUUCGGGAGUGAUACACAUGGAGAAUACCAGUGGCUACACAUUCCAGGUUUGAGCAUUCGCUUGCUGUCUAUUUGCCAUACAUGACGAUAAAGAAAGCCAGCAAAUUUUCAAGUCAUGUUCGCUGAUUAGGAUUGGAUUUGUCUUGGGUUAAGUAGAAUUUGAUUGAAGAGGCUAACAUUAAGUAUUUGUGGGUUAAUUUUCGCAUUGUUAGAUUUUUUGUAUGCAGAGAAAGGUCUCUGGCUCUUAUAUACCUAACUAUUAGCCAUUUAUUUGUAUUAUUUCUUUGUUCCAUAUAAGUAUUGCUUGCAAUGUCA
Molecule: long non-coding RNA, 1163 nt
Organism: Pyrus x bretschneideri (Chinese white pear)
Lineage: Eukaryota; Viridiplantae; Streptophyta; Magnoliopsida; Rosales; Rosaceae
Exons: 4
Source: RefSeq, a predicted model, not a curated record